Molecule: long non-coding RNA, 398 nt
Organism: Frankliniella occidentalis (western flower thrips)
Lineage: Eukaryota; Metazoa; Arthropoda; Insecta; Thysanoptera; Thripidae
Exons: 3
Source: RefSeq, a predicted model, not a curated record
UGUAAAAAUUUCGAACUACGACCCUACUUUGAAACGAUAUAAAACUGGUUUCCCGAUGAGUGAGGUGAUCGCCCACUUCAGGAUCUGUUCAGUUUUACUAGAGUAAUCUACAGGCGAAGUCGGGGCGCUGUAGCUUAAAUACUUUCCGAGAAAAUCGCGAUUUACAUAUUUUUUCCGACAUCGGCCUGCCGAAAAGGUGCUUUCUCGGGCCGACCGGGGCGCUGGGCCGCGCGCCCAGCCAAUGGGCUGGCUUGCAAACCUGUGACUCUUACACCGGUGUCUGAGCGCGGGCCUGGAGUGUGGUCUGGUAGCUCAGAGAGUUGCGUGCUGGAUCGCUACUCAUUUCGGCUCUCCGUGUCGUAGGUUCGACUCUUGACUUUUGGGGGAUUUUUUUUUUU